This 500-nucleotide ribosomal RNA is filed under the name uncultured bacterium. RNAcentral's name for it is "bacterial SSU rRNA". It matches the Rfam family "Bacterial small subunit ribosomal RNA", at positions 1010 to 1512 of the family's 1533-position model. The record is from RNAcentral.
UUUCUUCCCUUCGGGGACCUAGUGACAGGUGCUGCAUGGCUGUCGUCAGCUCGUGUCGUGAGAUGUUGGGUUAAGUCCCGCAACGAGCGCAACCCUCGUCCUUAGUUGCCAUCAUUAAGUUGGGCACUUUAAGGAAACUGCCGGUGAUAAGCCGGAGGAAGGUGGGGAUGACGUCAAGUCCUCAUGGCCCUUACAGGCUGGGCUACACACGUGCUACAAUGGCAUCUACAGUGGGCAGCUAUUCCGCAAGGAUGCGCUAAUCUCCAAAAGAUGUCUCAGUUCGGAUUGUCCUCUGCAACUCGAGGGCAUGAAGGCGGAAUCGCUAGUAAUCGCGGAUCAGCAUGCCGCGGUGAAUACGUUCCCAGGCCUUGUACACACCGCCCGUCACACCAUGGGAGUUGGAUUCACCCGAAGGCAGUGCGCUAACCGCAAGGAGGCAGCUGACCACGGUGGGUUCAGCGACUGGGGUGAAGUCGUAACAAGGUAGCCGUAGGGGAACC